GAUGAACGCUGGCGGCGUGCCUAAUACAUGCAAGUCGAGCGAACGGACGAGAAGCUUGCUUCUCUGACGUUAGCGGCGGACGGGUGAGUAACACGUAGAUAACCUACCUAUAAGACUGGGAUAACUUCGGGAAACCGGAGCUAAUACCGGAUAAUAUUUUGAACCGCAUGGUUCAAUAGUGAAAGACGGUCUUGCUGUCACUUAUAGAUGGAUCCGCGCUGCAUUAGCUAGUUGGUAAGGUAACGGCUUACCAAGGCAACGAUGCAUAGCCGACCUGAGAGGGUGAUCGGCCACACUGGAACUGAGACACGGUCCAGACUCCUACGGGAGGCAGCAGUAGGGAAUCUUCCGCAAUGGGCGAAAGCCUGACGGAGCAACGCCGCGUGAGUGAUGAAGGUCUUCGGAUCGUAAAACUCUGUUAUUAGGGAAGAACAUAUGUGUAAGUAACUGUGCACAUCUUGACGGUACCUAAUCAGAAAGCCACGGCUAACUACGUG
This 497-nucleotide ribosomal RNA is filed under the name uncultured bacterium. Its description in RNAcentral is "partial 16S ribosomal RNA". It matches the Rfam family "Bacterial small subunit ribosomal RNA", at positions 28 to 507 of the family's 1533-position model. The record is from RNAcentral.